GCUUCAGUGGUGCAAUCGGUUAGCAUGCAGUAUUUAUAAUGCUGAGGUUAUGAGUUCAAGCCUCACCUGGAGCA
Molecule: non-coding RNA, 74 nt
Organism: Cyprinus carpio (common carp)
Lineage: Eukaryota; Metazoa; Chordata; Actinopteri; Cypriniformes; Cyprinidae
Source: the annotation of a RefSeq genome assembly